AAGGGUUGGGCUGUUCGCCCAUUAAAGUGGCACGCGAGCUGGGUUCAGAACGUCGUGAGACAGUUCGGUCCCUAUCCGUCGUGGGCGUAGGAAAAUUGAGAAGAUCUGUCCUUAGUACGAGAGGACCGGGAUGGACACACCUAUGGUGUAUCUGUUGUCACGCCAGUGGCAGUGCAGAGUAGCUAAGUGUGGAAUAGAUAAUCGCUGAAAGCAUCUAAGCGAGAAGCUAACUUCAAGAUGAGUUUUCCCAUAUUUUAUAUAGUAAGAUCCCAGAAAGACUAACUGGUUGAUAGGCUAGAGGUGGAAGUGUAGUGAUACAUUGAGCUGACUAGUACUAAUAGAUCGAGGAUUUAACCCUA
This 359-nucleotide ribosomal RNA is filed under the name Mollicutes bacterium. RNAcentral's name for it is "partial 23S ribosomal RNA". It matches the Rfam family "Bacterial large subunit ribosomal RNA", at positions 2567 to 2925 of the family's 2925-position model. The record is from RNAcentral. Lineage: Bacteria; Bacillati; Mycoplasmatota; Mollicutes.